This 1058-nucleotide long non-coding RNA is filed under the name Oncorhynchus mykiss (rainbow trout). RNAcentral's name for it is "lncRNA (ENSOMYG00000077748.1)". Lineage: Eukaryota; Metazoa; Chordata; Actinopteri; Salmoniformes; Salmonidae. The record is from RNAcentral.
ACAUUGGUAUACUACAUUGGGAGUGAUGCAUGUGAGGAAGGAAAGUAGAUUUAAAUCACUAGUUUCAGCUGGAGCCUCAUAGGAGUCUCUCUGACUGAGAAUAAACACUCAAAUCAUCUUGGAUUCAUUAUCAACUGAUCUUUUCAUUUUCCUUUCCUUCCUCGCCCUACUGGAGUCACAAAGGCUUUCUUUGUUUCUCUAUUUCUGCUGAGCUCUCUGUGUCCUGCGCAACUUCAUUUGUUUGCUUCUUUCUUUUUUUUGUUCUCUCUUCUCUCAAUGUAUUGAUGGUCUAAAAUGAUCUCAUCUACCCACACAAUCUCAUACGUUGACCACAUGUGGCUUACAGUAACACGCCCAUGCACGCAUACACAUGAAUACACACACACACACACACACACACACACACACACACACACACACAAGGAGACAGUUCAUGCUGCGCAAGAGACAGCUCAGCACACAACUACCUUCCACCUUCAGCAGAAGACCUGGCCCAGAUGUCUGAAUGUAGAACUCAAGAAGAUCCACUUGUCAUGGCCAGAAGCAAAGGAAGCAGCUGGAAAGACCUGCAGAGUUGGGAAACAUUAGUACAAGCCCCAUGUUCCUCCAUAAAUGAAGUGAAUUAAAAUCACAGGACUCAGUGGGGCGGUUUCCCGAACACAGAGUAAACCAAAUCCUGGACAAAAUAUUAGGCAAGUCAGUUAAGAACAAAUUGUUAUUUACAAUGAUAGCCUAGAAACAGUGAGUUAACUGCCUUGAUCGGAGGCAGAACAGCAGAUUUUUACCUUGACAGCUCAGGGAUUCAAUCUAGAAACAUUUUGGUGACUGGUCCAAUGCUCUAACCACUAGGCUACCUGCCACCCUGUGUGUGUGUGUGUGUGUGUGUGUGUGUGUGUGUGUGUGUGUGUUCCAUUUGGGAAUGAUACAGAACGCUACACAAGUACAUAGGAACAUACCACAAUCAGCAGAGAGAACUCUAAUGGAAGACACAUGAAAAAGCAGUAUGCUGAUACAUUAUAUAAACAAACAAUAGAGAGAGUGGGUGGGAGGGAGACUAG